UACGUAGGGGGCAAGCGUUGUCCGGAUUCAUUGGGCGUAAAGGGUGCGUAGGUGGCAUGGUUAGUCGGGUGUGAAAUCCCGGGGCUCAACCCCGGAACUGCACUCGAUACUGCCGUGCUGGAGUACUGGAGAGGAGACUGGAAUUUACGGUGUAGCAGUGAAAUGCGUAGAUAUCGUAAGGAAGACCGGUGGCGAAAGCUAGUCUCUGGACAGUCACUGACACUGAGGCACGAAGGCUAGGGGAGCAAACGGG
This 253-nucleotide ribosomal RNA is filed under the name uncultured bacterium. RNAcentral describes it as "partial 16S ribosomal RNA". It matches the Rfam family "Bacterial small subunit ribosomal RNA", at positions 524 to 776 of the family's 1533-position model. The record is from RNAcentral.